RNAcentral lists this ribosomal RNA (320 nucleotides) under uncultured eukaryote. Its description in RNAcentral is "partial 18S ribosomal RNA". It matches the Rfam family "Eukaryotic small subunit ribosomal RNA", at positions 1470 to 1796 of the family's 1831-position model. The record is from RNAcentral.
CCCCUAGAUGUUCUGGGCCGCACGCGCGCUACACUGAACAGUUCAACAAGUCUUAACCUUGGCCGAUAGGUCUGGGUAAUCUUUGAACGCUGUUCGUGAUUGGGAUAGACCUUUGCAAUUAUGGGUCUUCAACGAGGAAUUCCUAGUAAACGCAAGUCAUCAGCUUGCAUUGAUUACGUCCUUGCCCUUUGUACACACCGCCCGUCGCACCUACCGAUUGAAUGGUCCGGUGAAAUCUCGGGACGGCGGCUCGGUCGCUUGCGUCCGACUGCUGAAACUUGAUUAAACCAUAUCAUUUAGAGGAAGGUGAAGUCGUAACA